GCGCCUUUGUAGUCCCAGCCGGUCUUCCUCUUCGGGCCCCUCUGCCCCGGCUUUCUCAGGAGUCGCACUGCCCCGCUUGCAGACGUCCGGGGCCUGGGACGGAACGGCGCGAACCCUCUCUGCUCGGCUGGGCAGGUGCAGACCCGGUCGAAGCUCGCCUGAAGCGCGGGCGGUGUCGCGGCCCCUGGAAGGGGACGGAGGAACAGCCGUGCGGGGUCCUCAGCCUGGAGAGAAGGGGCCUGCGGGAGGCUAACCUGGAGCUGUGGAAGCCCCUCCUGCGCUCUGCGCUCGGUUGGCGGGUCAGGGCUCCAUAGCGGGGACGAGGCCCGGAGGUGGGGUCCGCCUGGGUCCUUCCCUCCUCCCUGUGGCUGGGCCCAGAGGGGCCCCUGAGGACCCUGUGCUACUUCCUAAAGGCGCGGCUGUGAGGGUCCCCGGGGGCAGAAGGCAUCAGAGGGGGCUCUGUGUGUGAGUGUGUCAGAGAGAGGUGGGGUGUGCGUGCGCGCUGUGAGUGGGUGUGGGGGGUGAGGAUGUAGAGUAUGGUCGUAUUAUGCGAGUGUGGUGUGUGUGUGCCCCCCACAUCUCACCCCAGGCCAAUCUCCUCCAUCAUUGUCUUCGUCGUCGUCUCUUGUGGCCCUGCCAGGGACCCCAGUCCCCCGCCUGCUUCAGCGUUGGCAGUGGCCUGAGCCUCCUCUGACCCCUGUGGAUCCCACUCACCCAAGCCUGACUCCAGGUUAGCACCCUGCUGCUCUCACCUCAAAGCAAAUGGGACUCCUUGAGUAGAAUUCAUCAAUGAGACGAUUCAUUCUCACACUCUGAGAAAGGCUGCAAGACACUCAUUCCUCAGCUUGAUUACACCACACCACAAGCCACAAUGUGAGGGUCUACGUAACCAAAUGCCUGCUUAAAUGCGAGUCACUACAUUCACACUGGAGAGGGAGCCAUCUGUCCAAGAACCAAAAAGCCUAUCUGUGCCCACAAGUUGGAGGCUGCUGGGCCUCUGCCACUGGCAGAAUCCAUUGGCAUUUGUAGUGGACAUUGUGAAAGACUUGGAGGAGCUUAGGGCUCCUCCUGUGCCUGUAUCCUGGAGGACUGUUUACUUUUGGGGUGGGUGUCUCCUGUUCCUUGGCAUUGUUAAACAGGUCUCACGGAAAGGGCCUGGGAUUGUUUGUUCUUUCAUUGUUUGACUGGCUGCUGUUGACAGUGGUUUCCUGAACCAGGUCCUGCUUCACUCCAAGGCCCCAGCUCCGGAAUUCUGACAGGGUCGAAGCAAAGUUGUAGCAAAGUUUGCCCCAGGAAAGGCAAAAUGGAAAACCAGAGAGGCACAAGAGGGAUUGCGAGAUUAUAGUAACAAAGGCACUGAGAAGAAGCACAAAAUUCACCAGGUGGCGUAGGAAAGAGGGUGGAAGCCGCUGCCCAUUCCUUCUGGUCUCAGCACUGAAUUUGACCAGAGCACACCAGUCCUGGGCUGUACUUGACAAGCCACAAAACCUUAGCUCUGCCGAAACGACAGGAAGUUAAAGGCAGAGAAAUGGAGAAUGUGGAAGGAAGGAAGAAAGAAUGGGGCUAGGUUCCAGAACUAAAUCUGAGGUAGCCCAGAUUUCUGACCUGAAGGACAGCUGUGCAUGGCUCCUUCUGGAAUGCUAGCUAGAUAGAUCAUCACACCAGGAAUUCCCAGUCUUUGACCCUGAUAGACGAGCUGUGCAUGUGUGUGCACCCGUGCGUGCAUGUGUGCGUGUGUACAUGUGUGUGCAACUGCACAUAUGUAUGUGCAUGUGUGGGUGUGUACGUGUGCAUGCACUCAUGCACAUGUAUUUGGUGUGCUGGGUGCACGUGCCUACGUGUAUGUAUAAGAACAUGAUUAAAUGCUAUACAAGGCACACAUAUACAUGUAUCUGUCCACUAGGUGUACAGCAUUCACUCAAAACAUAUGCUUAA
Molecule: long non-coding RNA, 1935 nt
Organism: Equus quagga
Lineage: Eukaryota; Metazoa; Chordata; Mammalia; Perissodactyla; Equidae
Exons: 4
Source: RefSeq, a predicted model, not a curated record